GAUCCUGGCUCAGAAUCAACGCUGGCGGCGUGCCUAAUACAUGCAAGUCGAACGCGAAAGUGGAGCAAUCCAUGAGUAGAGUGGCAAACGGGUGAGUAACGCGUGGGUGACCUGCCUUCGAGUGGGGGAUAACGUUCCGAAAGGGACGCUAAUACCGCAUGACAUCCUGCCUUUUAAGAGGUGGAGAUCAAAGCCGGGGACCGCAAGGCCUGGCGCUUGAAGAGGGGCCCGCGUCCGAUUAGCUAGUUGGUGGGGUAAUGGCUCACCAAGGCAACGAUCGGUAGCCGGCCUGAGAGGGCGGACGGCCACACUGGGACUGAGACACGGCCCAGACUCCUACGGGAGGCAGCAGUAGGGAAUUGUUCGCAAUGGGCGCAAGCCUGACGACGCAACGCCGCGUGGAGGAUGAAGAUCUUCGGGUCGUAAACUCCUUUCGAUCGAGACGAACGGCCCCUGGGCUAAUCACCAGGGGAGUGACGGUACCGAGAGAAGAAGCCCCGGCUAACUCCGUGCCAGCAGCCGCGGUAAUACGGGGGGGGCAAGCGUUGUUCGGAAUUACUGGGCGUAAAGGGCUCGUAGGCGGCCAACUAAGUCAGACGUGAAAUCCCUCGGCUUAACCGGGGAACUGCGUCUGAUACUGGAUGGCUUGAGAUUGGGAGAGGGAUGCGGAAUUCCAGGUGUAGCGGUGAA
Molecule: ribosomal RNA, 690 nt
Filed under: uncultured Acidobacteriota bacterium
Lineage: Bacteria; Pseudomonadati; Acidobacteriota
Description: bacterial SSU rRNA
Rfam family: Bacterial small subunit ribosomal RNA
Source: RNAcentral